This 549-nucleotide ribosomal RNA is filed under the name uncultured Rhizophagus. RNAcentral's name for it is "SSU rRNA". It matches the Rfam family "Eukaryotic small subunit ribosomal RNA", at positions 548 to 1098 of the family's 1831-position model. The record is from RNAcentral. Lineage: Eukaryota; Fungi; Glomeromycota; Glomeromycetes; Glomerales; Glomeraceae.
UUGGAGGGCAAGUCUGGUGCCAGCAGCCGCGGUAAUUCCAGCUCCAAUAGCGUAUAUUAAAGUUGUUGCAGUUAAAAAGCUCGUAGUUGAAUUUCGGGGUCAGUAGGUCGGUCGUGCCACUGGUAUGAGCUGGUUUUACUGAUUCCUCCCUCUUGAAGAACUGUAAUGCCAUUAAUUUGGUGUUGCAGGGAAUCAGGACUGUUACUUUGAAAAAAUUAGAGUGUUUAAAGCAGGCUUUAGCUUGAAUACAUUAGCAUGGAAUAAUGAAAUAGGACGUUUGAUCCUAUUUUGUUGGUUUCUAGGAUUGACGUAAUGAUUAAUAGGGAUAGUUAGGGGCAUUAGUAUUCAAUUGUCAGAGGUGAAAUUCUUGGAUUUAUUGAAGACUAACUACUGCGAAAGCAUUUGCCAAGGAUGUUUUCAUUAAUCAAGAACGAAAGUUAGGGGAUCGAAGACGAUCAGAUACCGUCGUAGUCUUAACCAUAAACUAUGCCGACUAGGGAUCGGACGAUGUUAAUUUUUUAAUGACUCGUUCGGCGCCUUACGGGAAAC